UGGUUGGUUUUGUUCAUGUUUUUCAAAGUUCUGACCAUUUAGUUUUUUGUUGUGGUUGUUGGUGUACGGUAUGGUACUGAUUCGGAAUUUUGUUCUGACCAUUUAGUUUUUUGUUGUGGUUGUUGGUGUACUGUAUGGUACUGAUUCGGAAUUUUGUUCCUCUCAGGAUUUUGGGUGUGCCUUAUUUAAGAUCCAACUAGCGGAAUCUUAAUGGUGUGGAGAAAGUUAGAGAUUUCAAAUGAAAAGAGUUUAUAAAGAGAAGAUGAUCAUUUGCACUUUUAAUAAAGAAAAGGUAUAGGAAUGUAGAGCAAAUGUGAAAAUGCAAGUGAUCAUCUUCAAUUCAUGAGAAGAAAUUGGGCUAAAAAUUAUCCACUGUAUGAUAUUGUUCAUGCAUCAUGUUGAAGUCUCGGCACCAUAUCUGGUCAACUACAUUUGCUGCAGUGGAUAAAGUGAGAUCUGGCUUCAUUUUUUAUGAAAGGAUUAUCCUGCUCUACCUUUCCAGGCUGGCAUAAAUAGAUCUUUUGGCAAAGUAAUUUACUUAAAGCAAUGGCAUCUCAACUCAGAUAUAGCUCUGACAAGAAAAAUCAAGUUGCCGCUCAAGCUUACACCAUUUGUAUAGGUUCUUGCUACUAUUCAAGGGAUUUUUUUUAUUUUAAUGUGGACGUGAAGGCAACCUGGAAAGCUUUAGAUGGAUCGACAAUCUUCUGUUGAGGUCACAAAUCUUUUGUGUCUUUGCGUGAUUCGCAGUUUUGCUGUAGAUAACAUGUGUCUGCAUUAUAUUUCCCAUUGUACACGGAGCUGCUUUUGAUUAGAUGUGAAAAUGAGGGGAUGAAGAUCGGUGCAGGAAGAAAGUGUGCAAGGAAAUAAACUAACAGAUGGAACGAAGUCCCUGGAAACAAUGCAGAAUCAAAUACCGGGGAUACUAUCGGUCAAAACCAUAGUUAAUUAAAAGUUAAAACUGAUACUAGAAAUUAAGAGGAAAA
Papaver somniferum (opium poppy) is the source of this 983-nucleotide long non-coding RNA. RefSeq lists it as uncharacterized. The record is from RefSeq and is a predicted model, not a curated record. The transcript has 6 exons. Lineage: Eukaryota; Viridiplantae; Streptophyta; Magnoliopsida; Ranunculales; Papaveraceae.